RNAcentral lists this ribosomal RNA (253 nucleotides) under uncultured bacterium. RNAcentral's name for it is "partial 16S ribosomal RNA". It matches the Rfam family "Bacterial small subunit ribosomal RNA", at positions 524 to 776 of the family's 1533-position model. The record is from RNAcentral.
UACAGAGGGUGCGAGCGUUAAUCGGAGUUACUGGGCGUAAAGGGCGCGUAGGCGGUAAGAUGUGUGUGAUGUGAAAGCCCCGGGCUUAACCUGGGAAGUGCAUCGCAAACUAUCUAACUGGAGUAUAUGAGAGGGUGGCGGAAUUUCCGGUGUAGCGGUGAAAUGCGUAGAGAUCGGAAGGAACGUCAAUGGCGAAGGCAGCCACCUGGCAUAAUACUGACGCUGAGGCGCGAAAGCGUGGGGAGCGAACAGG